RNAcentral lists this ribosomal RNA (497 nucleotides) under uncultured bacterium. RNAcentral's name for it is "partial 16S ribosomal RNA". It matches the Rfam family "Bacterial small subunit ribosomal RNA", at positions 28 to 507 of the family's 1533-position model. The record is from RNAcentral.
GAUGAACGCUGGCGGCGUGCCUAAUACAUGCAAGUCGAGCGAACAGACGAGGAGCUUGCUCCUCUGACGUUAGCGGCGGACGGGUGAGUAACACGUGGAUAACCUACCUAUAAGACUGGGAUAACUUCGGGAAACCGGAGCUAAUACCGGAUAAUAUAUUGAACCGCAUGGUUCAAUAGUGAAAGACGGUUUUGCUGUCACUUAUAGAUGGAUCCGCGCCGCAUUAGCUAGUUGGUAAGGUAACGGCUUACCAAGGCAACGAUGCGUAGCCGACCUGAGAGGGUGAUCGGCAACAGUAGGACUGAGACACGGUCCAAAGUCCUAAGGGAGGCAGCAGGAGGGAAUAUGCAGGAAUGGACGCAAGUCUGACGGAGCUACGCCGCGUGAGUGAAAAAGGUCUUCGGAUCGUAAAACUCUGUUAUUAGAGAAGAACAGCACACAGCGUAACUCUGCGGGGCGUGACGGUAGAUAAUCAGAAAGACACGGCUAACUACGUG